AACGAACGCUGGCGGCAUGCCUAACACAUGCAAGUCGAACGAGACCUUCGGGUCUAGUGGCGCACGGGUGCGUAACGCGUGGGAACCUGCCCUUAGGUUCGGAAUAACUCCCCGAAAGGGGUGCUAAUACCGGAUAAUGUCUUCGGACCAAAGAUUUAUCGCCUUUGGAUGGGCCCGCGUUGGAUUAGCUAGUUGGUAGGGUAAAAGCCUACCAAGGCGACGAUACAUAGCUGGUCUGAGAGGAUGAUCAGCCACACUGGGACUGAGACACGGCCCAGACUCCUACGGGAGGCAGCAGUGGGGAAUAUUGGACAAUGGGCGAGAGCCUGAUCCAGCAAUGCCGCGUGAGUGAUGAAGGCCUUAGGGUUGUAAAGCUCUUUUACCCGGGAUGAUAAUGACAGUACCGGGAGAAUAAGCUCCGGCUAACUCCGUG
RNAcentral lists this ribosomal RNA (433 nucleotides) under uncultured bacterium. Its description in RNAcentral is "partial 16S ribosomal RNA". It matches the Rfam family "Bacterial small subunit ribosomal RNA", at positions 29 to 507 of the family's 1533-position model. The record is from RNAcentral.